RNAcentral lists this ribosomal RNA (236 nucleotides) under Kockovaella mexicana. Its description in RNAcentral is "partial large subunit ribosomal RNA". Lineage: Eukaryota; Fungi; Basidiomycota; Tremellomycetes; Tremellales; Cuniculitremaceae. The record is from RNAcentral.
AAACGAUUGAAGUCAGUCGUGUCCGAGGGGUUCAGCCGGUCAUGCCGGUGUAUUCCCCUCGGAUGGGUCAACGUCAGUUUGGACCGGUGGAAAAGGGCGGUAGGAAGGUGGCAGCUCCGGCUGUGUUAUAGCCUGCCGUCGCACACGCCGGUCUAGACUGAGGCAUGCAGCUCGCCCUCGUGGCUGGGGUUUUCCCACAUUCGAGCUUAGGAUGUUGACAUAAUGGCUUUAAACGA